CGGUCCAUUGCACGCUAUAUAACAAAACGAAAUUGUAAACAAUAUAAGAGUAAACUCCAGUUUUAUCAAACUCUCGUCUGAUAUUGAUUGAGAUGUGAUCGGUCGGUUUUCACGUCUGUUCAUGUGCUUUCUGCCGAAUACACGAAAUUGUGAUUUUCGUAAACAAAGUUUUCGCAUAAUCAGAACAUUUAGUACUGAUAUAAUAACAAACGGAACCAAUGUAAUCAAAAGCGCAAAUAUGCUAUCCAAGAUAAAUGACAGGAAGUCGUGAUCCUUACUUCCGGUACAAUAAUGAAUACCAUCAUGACUCAAAUAAACUCCAC
RNAcentral lists this long non-coding RNA (323 nucleotides) under Mytilus galloprovincialis (Mediterranean mussel). The record is from RNAcentral. Lineage: Eukaryota; Metazoa; Mollusca; Bivalvia; Mytilida; Mytilidae.